Molecule: ribosomal RNA, 466 nt
Filed under: uncultured bacterium
Lineage: Bacteria
Description: partial 16S ribosomal RNA
Rfam family: Bacterial small subunit ribosomal RNA
Source: RNAcentral
GACGAACGCUGGCGGCGUGCUUAACGCAUGCAAGUCGAACGGAAAGGCCCUGCUUGCAGGGUACUCGAGUGGCGAACGGGUGAGUAACACGUGGGUGAUCUGCCCUGCACUUCGGGAUAAGCUUGGGAAACUGGGUCUAAUACCGGAUAGGACCGCACUUUAGUGUGUGUGGUGGAAAGUUUUUUCGGUGUAGGAUGAGCUCGCGGCCUAUCAGCUUGUUGGUGGGGUAAUGGCCUACCAAGGCGGCGACGGGUAGCCGGCCUGAGAGGGUGUACGGCCACUUUGGGACUGAGAUACGGCCCAGACUCCUACGGGAGGCAGCAGUGGGGAAUAUUGCACAAUGGGCGCAAGCCUGAUGCAGCGACGCCGCGUGGGGGAUAAAGGCCUUCGGGUUGUAAACUCCUUUCGCUAGGGACGAAGCUUUGUUGUGACGGUACCUAGAUAAGAAGCACCGGCUAACUACGUG